CCUACGGGAGGCAGCAGUGAGGAAUAUUGGUCAAUGGACGAGAGUCUGAACCAGCCAAGUAGCGUGAAGGAUGACUGCCCUAUGGGUUGUAAACUUCUUUUAUAUGGGAAUAAAACGUUCCACGUGUGGGAUUUUGUAUGUACCAUAUGAAUAAGGAUCGGCUAACUCCGUGCCAGCAGCCGCGGUAAUACGGAGGAUCCGAGCGUUAUCCGGAUUUAUUGGGUUUAAAGGGAGCGUAGGUGGAUUGUUAAGUCAGUUGUGAAAGUUUGCGGCUCAACCGUAACAUUGCAGUUGAAACUGGCAGUCUUGAGUACAGUAGAGGUGGGCGGAAUUCGUGGUGUAGCGGUGAAAUGCUUAGAUAUCACGAAGAACUCCGAUUGCGAAGGCAGUUCACUGGACUGCAACUGACACUGAGGCUCGAAAGUGUGGGUAUCAAACAGGAUUAGAUACCCCUGUAGUC
Molecule: ribosomal RNA, 460 nt
Filed under: uncultured bacterium
Lineage: Bacteria
Description: partial 16S ribosomal RNA
Rfam family: Bacterial small subunit ribosomal RNA
Source: RNAcentral